UACGUAGGGUGCAAGCGUUGUUCGGAUUCAUUGGGCGUAAAGGGUGCGUAGGUGGCGUGGUAAGUCUGGUGUGAAAUCCCGGGGCUCAACCCCGGAACUGCACUGGAUACUGCCAUGCUUGAGUACUGGAGAGGAGAUUGGAAUUUACGGUGUAGCAGUGAAAUGCGUAGAUAUCGUAAGGAAGACCAGUGGCGAAGGCGAAUCUCUGGACAGUUACUGACACUGAGGCACGAAGGCCAGGGGAGCAAACGGG
RNAcentral lists this ribosomal RNA (253 nucleotides) under uncultured bacterium. RNAcentral describes it as "partial 16S ribosomal RNA". It matches the Rfam family "Bacterial small subunit ribosomal RNA", at positions 524 to 776 of the family's 1533-position model. The record is from RNAcentral.